This 269-nucleotide ribosomal RNA is filed under the name uncultured prokaryote. RNAcentral describes it as "partial 16S ribosomal RNA". It matches the Rfam family "Bacterial small subunit ribosomal RNA", at positions 524 to 792 of the family's 1533-position model. The record is from RNAcentral.
UACGGAGGAUCCGAGCGUUAUCCGGAUUUAUUGGGUUUAAAGGGUGCGCAGGCGGGAGAUUAAGUCGGCGGUGAAAUUUUGCAGCUCAACUGUAAAAGUGCCUUCGAAACUGGUUUCCUUGAGUGUAGAUGAAGUAGGCGGGAUUUGUGGUGUAGCGGUGAAAUGCAUAGAUAUCACGAGGAACUCCGAUUGCGCAGGCAUCUUACUAAACUACUACUGACGCUCAGGCACGAAGGCGUGGGGAUCAAACAGGAUUAGAUACCCUGGUA